GAAUUUUGGACAAUGGGCGAAAGCCUGAUCCAGCCAUCCCGCGUGUGCGAUGAAGGCCUUCGGGUUGUAAAGCACUUUUGGCAGGGAAGAAAAGGCUCUGGCUAGUACCUGGAGCUGCUGACGGUACCUGCAGAAUAAGCACCGGCUAACUACGUGCCAGCACCCGCGGUAAUACGUAGGGUGCAAGCGUUAAUCGGAAUUACGGGGCGUAAAGCGUGCGCAGGCGGUUCGGCAAGAAGGAUGUGAAAUCCCAGGGCUUAACCUUGGAACUGCAUUCUUAACUGCCGGGCUAGAGUAUGUCAGAGGGGGGUAGAAUUCCGCGUGUAGCAGUGAAAUGCGUAGAGAUGCGGAGGAAUACCGAUGGCGAAGGCAGCCCCCUGGGAUAAUACUGACGCUCAUGCACGAAAGCGUGGGGAGCAAACAG
Molecule: ribosomal RNA, 424 nt
Filed under: uncultured bacterium
Lineage: Bacteria
Description: bacterial SSU rRNA
Rfam family: Bacterial small subunit ribosomal RNA
Source: RNAcentral